AAAUCAAGCGCGAAAAGGGCGUUUGGUGGAUGCCUUGGCAGCAAGAGGCGAUGAAGGACGUGAUACUCUGCGAUAAGCUAGGGGGAGCCGAGAAUAGGCUUUGAUCCCUGGAUCUCCGAAUGGGGCAACCCACCUGAAUGUUUGUUAUUGUUACCUUUUGGUACUCAAUAACAUUCAUAACCAGGUACUUUUAACCUGAAUACAUAGGGUUUUAAGAGCAAACCCGGGGAACUGAAACAUCUAAGUACCCGGAGGAAAGGAAAUCAAUUGAUACUCCCCUAGUAGCGGCGAGCGAACGGGGACCAGCCGAGCCUGAUGAGUGACUAGAACAUGUUGGGAAGCAUGGCCAUAGCGGGUGAUAGCCCCGUAUAGGAAGCUCUGAAGGACGUAUUAAGUAGGGCGGGACACGUGAAAUCCUGUCUGAAGAUCGGAGGACCACCUUCGAAGGCUAAGUACUCCUUGCUGACCGAUAGCGAACCAGUACCGUGAGGGAAAGGUGAAAAGCACCCCGACGAGGGGAGUGAAACAGUACCUGAAACCGGACGCCUACAAUCAGUCGGAGGAUCUUUACGAUCUGACGGCGUACCUUUUGUAUAAUGGGUCAUCGACUUGGUCUAACUAGCAAGCUUAAGCCGUUAGGUGUAGGCGCAGCGAAAGCGAGUCUUAAUAGGGCGUUGAGUUAGUUGGAUCAGACCCGAAACCGAGUGAUCUAGGCAUGACCAGGAUGAAGACAAGGUAACACUUGUUGGAGGUCCGAACCCACACCUGUUGAAAAAGGUCGGGAUGAGUUGUGCCUAGGGGUGAAAGGCCAAUCAAACUCGGAGAUAGCUGGUUCUCCGCGAAAUCUAUUUAGGUAGAGCGUCAUCCGAAUACCCCGGGGGGUAGAGCACUGGAUGGGUAAUGGGGCCCCACAGGCUUACUGAUCCUAACCAAACUCCGAAUACCCGGGAGUACUAGAUGGCAGACACACGGCGGGUGCUAACGCCCGUCGUGGAGAGGGAAACAACCCUGACCUCCAGCUAAGGCCCCUAAUUCAUGGCUAAGUGGGAAAGCAGGUGGGACGACCAAAACAACCAGGAGGUUGGCUUAGAAGCAGCCAUCCUUUAAAGAUAGCGUAACAGCUCACUGGUCUAAUUAAGUUGUCCUGCGGCGAAGAUGUAACGGGGCUCAAGCCAUGAGCCGAAGCUGAGGACUGCAUAGCAGUGGUAGCGGAGCGUAGUGUGACAUAGCACUUGUCUUUACUACCGACCUUCGAGACGAAGGCGCAGGCAACUGUGCUCAAGUAGCGAAGCGGUAGCACAAGACAAAGUGCUUUCGAUGAAGCCGGGCUGUAAGGCAUCCGGUGGAGAGAUCACUAGCGAGAAUGAUGACAUGAGUAGCGACAAAGAGUGUGAGAGACACUCUCGCCGAAAGUCCAAGGGUUCCUGCUUAAAGCUAAUCUGAGCAGGGUAAGCCGGCCCCUAAGGCGAGGCCGAAAGGCGUAGUCGAUGGGAACCAGGUUAAUAUUCCUGGGCCAGGAGGAAGUGACGGAUCCUUACUGUAGUUCACACUUAUCGGAUUGUGUGGGCUGCUGCGGGGUCCCUGGAAAUAGCCCUCCAUGAGACCGUACCCUAAACCGACACAGGUGGACUGGUAGAGAAUACCAAGGCGCUUGAGAGAACAACGUUGAAGGAACUCGGCAAAAUACCUCCGUAAGUUCGCGAGAAGGAGGCCCAGUUUCUACGCAAGUAUUGGCUGGGGGCACAAACCAGGGGGUGGCGACUGUUUACUAAAAACACAGGGCUCUGCGAAGUCGCAAGACGACGUAUAGGGUCUGACGCCUGCCCGGUGCCUGAAGGUUAAAAGGAGGGGUGAGAGCUCCGAAUUGAAGCCCAGGUAAACGGCGGCCGUAACUAUAACGGUCCUAAGGUAGCGAAAUUCCUUGUCGGGUAAGUUCCGACCUGCACGAAUGGCGUAACGACUUCCCCGCUGUCUCCAACGUUGACUCAGCGAAAUUGAAUUGCCUGUCAAGAUGCAGGCUUCCCGCGGUUAGACGGAAAGACCCCGUGCACCUUUACUACAGCUUCACACUGGCAUCAGGCCAAGCAUGUGCAGGAUAGGUGGUAGGCUUCGAAGCAGUGACGCCAGUCCCUGUGGAGCCUUCCUUGAGAUACCACCCUUGCUUUGCUUGAUGUCUAACCGCGGUCCGUUAUCCGGAUCCGGGACCCUGUGUGGCGGGUAGUUUGACUGGGGCGGUCGCCUCCUAAAGAGUAACGGAGGCGCGCGAAGGUUGGCUCAGAGCGGUCGGACAUCGCUCGUUGAGUGCAAUGGCAGAAGCCAGCCUGACUGCGAGACUGACAAGUCGAGCAGAGUCGAAAGACGGCCAUAGUGAUCCGGUGGUCCCAAGUGGGAGGGCCAUCGCUCAACGGAUAAAAGGUACGCCGGGGAUAACAGGCUGAUACUGCCCAAGAGUCCAUAUCGACGGCAGUGUUUGGCACCUCGAUGUCGGCUCAUCUCAUCCUGGGGCUGGAGCAGGUCCCAAGGGUACGGCUGUUCGCCGUUUAAAGAGGUACGUGAGCUGGGUUUAGAACGUCGUGAGACAGUUCGGUCCCUAUCUGCCGUGGGUGUAGGAUACUUGAGAGGAGUUGCCCCUAGUACGAGAGGACCGGGGUGAACGAUCCACUGGUGGACCAGUUGUUAUGCCAAUAGCAGUGCUGGGUAGCUAUGAUCGGACAGGAUAACCGCUGAAGGCAUCUAAGCGGGAAGCCCCCCUCAAAACAAGGUAUCCCUGAGAGCCGUGGUAGACCACCACGUCGAUAGGCCGGAGAUGUAAGCGUGGUAACACGUUCAGUUGACCGGUACUAAUGGCUCGAUAGGCUUGAUUUGA
Molecule: ribosomal RNA, 2866 nt
Filed under: Donghicola tyrosinivorans
Lineage: Bacteria; Pseudomonadati; Pseudomonadota; Alphaproteobacteria; Rhodobacterales; Roseobacteraceae
Description: bacterial LSU rRNA
Rfam family: Bacterial large subunit ribosomal RNA
Source: RNAcentral